GAACUGCUUCGGCAGUACACAUACUAAAAUUGGAACGAUACAUAGAAAAUUAGCAUGGCCCCUGCGCAAGGAUGACCCGCAAAUUCGUGAAGUGUUCCACAUUUUU
Molecule: small nuclear RNA, 106 nt
Filed under: Octopus vulgaris (common octopus)
Lineage: Eukaryota; Metazoa; Mollusca; Cephalopoda; Octopoda; Octopodidae
Also listed under: 1 other name
Source: RNAcentral